GAGAGCAGGACAAGCCGGUUGUCCCCCAAACCAUCCCUUUUCUACUGUGCUGCGGCUUCUGAGCAGGACUGCCCUGAAGAAUGUUAUUGCCGGAAGAAACAAAACAGAAAUGCACAACAAAAGCACUGACAGAUGCCCAUCCAGCCUGUUUAAAAGCCUCCAAAGAAGGAGCUUCCACCAGACUCCAAGGCAGAGAGUUCCACUGCUGAACAGCACUUCUUACGCCUUCCUUCUCCCAUGAUGUCAUCAAUACAGGAAGGGAUUAAAAUCCAUGUGGGCUCACGGUACAUACAGCAAAAGCAGUCUUCCCUUUCCUUUGAAGCAACUUCCACAAAUGUAGUAGGUUGCCAUUUAUAGUCAUAAGGAAAAACUGCUGCCUAUAGCAAGAGGUAUGGGGAUCCUGGCUGUCUUACUGAACUCUCAUGUGGAGAGUUCUGCAAGGAGGAUCUGCAGUUGCUCCAAAAGAUUGUGUAAAAGAUUGUGAACUCCUGCACUAUCUACCUAGGGCCCCUGGUGUCACAGCGGGUUAAACUACUGAACUGCUGAACUUGCUGACCGAAAGACAUUCAGUUCGAAUCCGGGGAGCAGGGUGAGCUCCCACUGUUAGGCCUAGCACCUGCCAACCUAACAGUUCGAAAACACGCAAAUGUGAGUAGAUCAGUAGGUACCGCUUCUGCGGGAAGGUAACAGUGCCCAUGCAGUCAUGUUGGCCACAUGACCUAGGAAGUGUCUACAGACAACGCUGGCUCUUCAGCUUAGAAAUGCAGAUGAACACCAACUCCCAGAGUUGGACACGACUAGAUUUAAUGUCAGGGGAAAUCUUUACCUUUACCUACGUUAUAACUACCUCUCUCCCUCUCUCUAGGUGGGGUGAAAAUCCAGUGAUGGAGUUGCUUGUAAUGUUUUUUACAGCUGCCUGUAUGGAAACAUCAAAUUUUUGGUGCAUGUCAUAGGCUGUGGUGAGCAUGCUCUUAACAGGUGAAAAAACUGAAAUAGCUAUUAGCUAGCAAAGGUAUUGGGGAAAAGAAACAGGAUCAGAGAAAGGCCGAUGUAGAGG
Long non-coding RNA from Anolis sagrei ordinatus, 1057 nucleotides. RefSeq lists it as uncharacterized. The record is from RefSeq and is a predicted model, not a curated record. Lineage: Eukaryota; Metazoa; Chordata; Lepidosauria; Squamata; Anolidae.